GAUGAAAACGUGUUUUCUCUCUCUUCAAGAGCAUUUGUUGCGUUGGUUCAUGCGCUGCAGAGGAAGAGUAAAAACCUUUCCUUCACAGGACUGAGCGGCCUUCCUUUUAAGAGGUUGUGUAGUGACAGUCUCCAGAAAUAUGGCAGUAAGGUCUUCUUUAAAACAUGUAAUACUAAAUCAGUACAUUUCAUUUUGAAGCAUAGAGUUCUGCAAAAGAUAGAUCAGAACAUAGGCACCCUGGCUGUGGGAGCAGGCUGUGGUCAGAGAUGUUGGAAGCACACAACAGCCUGCCUUUGGUACGUCAUUCUCAUUUCUGAGAACGUACUGGGAACCCCUCAAACUAGAGCCUGUGUUGGCAUUACUGGUUUUGCAGGUACUGUUGGGCAUGCUUUCAAAGAGUUUCCCUCCUUCCAUUUGGGGUCCAUCUGUACGUUAGGUCUUAGUGCUACGGCGAUAGGGAGCUUCAAAAUCUACCUUUUUUCUUACUUCCUUCUGUUUGUUUUAGCCAGCUGCAUAACGCUGAUUUGCUUGCAUAUCUCGUUUUAUGAGAAAUAAUAAAUAUUCAUUUCCCACUCGCUUUCCCUGUAUUAUUCAUGAUUUUAUAGCUUUCUGUAAUAGUUCUUCUCAGUCAUUAAUUUCUUGAGAAAUGCCUCUCUUGGGAGGCUAGCACAGUGCCAUGAAGCCAGGGAGAGAUGUCUGCCUCACCCAGCAGGUAGGGCACGGUGCAGACAUCCAUUUCCAUUGGGUCCAGGGAACAGAUGGUCGAGCAACACGUCUGCGGGGAGCCAUUAAAAAUGUAAAUUACUACCUGGGACAUUAUUUGUCCCACAUACAGUGAGCAAGAUAAUCAGAAGUACAUAUACCUCAUUAGGAAGACUUGUUACUUGCAAAUGUUAACAUCAUUAGAGUCCUCGGAGUAGCGCAAUAUUUUUAAUGUCUAAGAAAAAGAAAUCUCUCAUCUUCCUUAAUAUAUUAGCUCAUUGAUUUUUCUCAGGUAUUGCGUAUCCCAGGAAGUUUUGUAAAUCUCAGGUAAAUAUUUUCAGCCUUGGAUAGAUUUUUUUCAACAAGCAAAAUUCUUUUGGAAUGUUCUCCCCAAGAUAAAUGGCUAAAUGCAGUGUAUUUUUAUUCAAAGCCUAGAAGGUCAGCCUCCUAUCAUCUACUAUAAGAAAAUACAACUAAUUUUCAAAGAAAAUCGUACUGAGCGUGACUGAAAGGUUGAAAUAUGGCAGAAUCAGAAAUAUUUGUGUUGUGUAGCCUCAGUAUGUUGAAUGCCACAUCUGGUGAAGUUUUCAUGCAAUAGUUGUUUUUCCUAUACUGGUUAGCAGCUGAUACGAGAUGUAAUGGAAAGGUGAUCAACAUGCAAUUUUACUGCAGUGUUAAGUGAGUUAAGAUCCCAACACCUGAUCUUGUUAAUAGCAAACAUUUUUUUAUUUCCAUAGAUAAAAUAGAUAGACUAAUGUAUAUUUUGCACAAGUCUUGCUGAGGUGCAACACAAGGAAAUAGAGCCAGCAUCAUCAAAAUGUAGGUUCCGGUCAGAGAGAGAAACAAAACAAGUAUUAAGAAAGAUCAGACUCUGGGAAUACCUCCUCUAGAGGUCAUAUGGAAUUUUUUUUCAUUCCUGUCUAUCACCUUGUCACUUAACAGCAUCCUUCCCUUUGCUCGUAGUUGUUUAGGUCUGUACUGGUUAGAACUGGGGUUUAAUUUGUCAUAGAAGUAGUCAUUUGGCUCUAGGAAUGAAAGCAAGCUUUUCAUUUGCUGCUAAUGCAUUUACUUCUCAUACGUUCAGGUCAUUGGGUUAUUUUGUUGUGUAGAACAAAUCAAACAUUUUGGGUGGUUGGUUGUUUUGUUUUGUUUUGUUUUUUUAUAUUUCAGAAUAACGCAGUCAGCUGAUGGCUUAAGGAUGUUAGGAUUCAUAAGGCUGUAGGCUAGAAUAAAGACUUUCAGUCUUUUGAUAUGCA
RNAcentral lists this long non-coding RNA (1958 nucleotides) under Phasianus colchicus (ring-necked pheasant). Its description in RNAcentral is "lncRNA (ENSPCLG00000012806.1)". The record is from RNAcentral. Lineage: Eukaryota; Metazoa; Chordata; Aves; Galliformes; Phasianidae.